GAUGAAGAACGUAGCGAAAUGCGAUACGUAAUGUGAAUUGCAAAUUCAGUGAAUCAUCGAGUCUUUGAACGCACAUUGUGCCCCCUGGUAUUCCGGGGGGCAUGCCUGUCCGAGCGUCAUUGCUGCCCUCAAGCACGGCUUGUGUGUUGGGCCCCGUCCUCCGAUCCCGGGGGACGGGCCCGAAAGGCAGCGGCGGCACCGCGUCCGGUCCUCGAGCGUAUGGGCUUUGUCACCCGCUCUGUAGGCCCGGCCGGCGCUUGCCGAUCAACCCAAAUUUUUAUCCAGGUUGACCUCGGAUCAGGUAGGGAUACCCGCUGAACUUAAGCAUAUCAAUAAGCGGAGGA
RNAcentral lists this unclassified non-coding RNA (344 nucleotides) under soil metagenome. RNAcentral describes it as "partial contains 5.8S ribosomal RNA, internal transcribed spacer 2, and large subunit ribosomal RNA". The stretch from base 1 to 119 matches the Rfam family "5.8S ribosomal RNA", at positions 35 to 154 of the family's 154-position model. The record is from RNAcentral.